AUUGAACGCUGGCGGCAUGCCUUACACAUGCAAGUCGAACGGUAACGGGCCUUCGGGUGCCGACGAGUGGCGAACGGGUGAGUAAUGUAUCGGAACGUACCUUUCAGUGGGGGAUAACGUAGCGAAAGUUACGCUAAUACCGCAUAUUCUGUGAGCAGGAAAGCAGGGGAUCGCAAGACCUUGCGCUGAUUGAGCGGCCGAUAUCAGAUUAGCUAGUUGGUGAGGUAAAGGCUCACCAAGGCGACGAUCUGUAGCGGGUCUGAGAGGAUGAUCCGCCACACUGGAACUGAGACACGGUCCAGACUCCUACGGGAGGCAGCAGUGGGGAAUUUUGGACAAUGGGGGCAACCCUGAUCCAGCCAUGCCGCGUGAGUGAAGAAGGCCUGGUGUAAG
This 393-nucleotide ribosomal RNA is filed under the name uncultured bacterium. RNAcentral describes it as "bacterial SSU rRNA". It matches the Rfam family "Bacterial small subunit ribosomal RNA", at positions 30 to 429 of the family's 1533-position model. The record is from RNAcentral.